CCCUGCAUUCAGAAGUGGUCACAGGCUGCCCAUGUCCUGUUCAUUGGUAGUGCAGGGAGGGGAAAUGUGGAAAGGGUCGUCCCGUGUCUGGAGGGUCCACGUCCUCGACCUUGCGGUUCUGGGAGCUUUCCCACC
This is a small nucleolar RNA of Rhinolophus ferrumequinum (greater horseshoe bat), 135 nucleotides long. Its record names the gene SNORA71. It matches the Rfam family "Small nucleolar RNA SNORA71". From Rfam's summary of the family: The members of this family belong to the H/ACA class of snoRNAs which bind a number of proteins (including dyskerin, Gar1p and Nop10p) to form snoRNP complexes. This class of snoRNAs are thought to guide the sites of modification of uridines to pseudouridines by forming direct base pairing interactions with substrate RNAs. NCBI's taxonomy places the organism in Eukaryota, Metazoa, Chordata, Mammalia, Chiroptera, Rhinolophidae. The record is from Ensembl.